GUUUAUAUGGUGUAGAUGCACGUAGGAUUUUCAAUUCUAUGGCGAAAGCUUAUGUUUUCUAUAAAU
RNAcentral lists this transfer RNA (66 nucleotides) under Limnoperna fortunei. RNAcentral describes it as "tRNA-Glu". Lineage: Eukaryota; Metazoa; Mollusca; Bivalvia; Mytilida; Modiolidae. The record is from RNAcentral.